Molecule: non-coding RNA, 145 nt
Organism: Flavobacterium sp. LM5
Lineage: Bacteria; Pseudomonadati; Bacteroidota; Flavobacteriia; Flavobacteriales; Flavobacteriaceae
Source: Rfam
UUUUAGCCCAGAUCGUAAUGGAAACCCCGGAGUACCAAAAACUAGUGGUUCUUGUGGUUGCAGAGCGACCAGCGGAAGCUCCUUCAAGCGCAUUAGAACCACAGUUUUUUGGAACGAGGAGUUGUAAUGGAGAGCUGGAAUGGCU